Molecule: non-coding RNA, 125 nt
Organism: Hordeum vulgare subsp. vulgare (domesticated barley)
Lineage: Eukaryota; Viridiplantae; Streptophyta; Magnoliopsida; Poales; Poaceae
Source: Rfam
UUACUACUGCCUCCGUCCGGAAUUACUUGUCGCACAAAUGUAUAAAAAUAGAUGUAUCUAGAACUAAAAUAUAUCUAGAUACAUCCAGUCCUAUGACAAGUAUUUCUAGACAGAGGGAGUACAAA